UACGUAGGUGGCAAGCGUUGUCCGGAAUUAUUGGGCGUAAAGCGCGCGUAGGUGGCUUGUCAGGUCUGAUGUGAAAACCUGGGGCUCAACUCCAGGCCUGCAUCGGAAACCGACUUGCUAGAGUCUGGGAGAGGAGAGUGGAAUUCCUGGUGUAGCGGUGAAAUGCGUAGAUAUCAGGAGGAACACCGGUAGCGAAGGCGGCUCUCUGGAACAGUACUGACGCUGAGGCGCGAAAGCUAGGGGAGCGAACAGGAUUAGAAACCCUAGUAGUCC
This 273-nucleotide ribosomal RNA is filed under the name uncultured prokaryote. RNAcentral's name for it is "partial 16S ribosomal RNA". It matches the Rfam family "Bacterial small subunit ribosomal RNA", at positions 524 to 796 of the family's 1533-position model. The record is from RNAcentral.